GAGUUUGAUCUUGGCUCAGGAUGAGCGCUGGCGGCGUGCCUAAUACAUGCAAGUCGAGCGGUAAGGCUCCUUCGGGAGUACACGAGCGGCGGACGGGCUGAGUAACACGUAGGAACGUACCCCAAAGUGAGGGAUAACUGCUCGAAAGAGUAGCUAAUACCGCAUGUGAUCCACGGAUUAAAGCUUUAUGCGCUUUGGGAACGGCCUGCGUCCGAUUAGCUAGUUGGUAGAGUAAAAGCCUACCAAGGCGACGAUCGGUAGCUGGUCUGAGAGGAUGAUCAGCCAGACUGGGACUGAGACACGGCCCAGACUCCUACGGGAGGCAGCAGUAGGGAAUUUUCCACAAUGGGCGAAAGCCUGAUGGAGCAACGCCGCGUGCAGGAUGAAUGUCUUCGGAUUGUAAACUGCUUUUGUUGGUGACGAUUAUGACGGUAACCAACGAAUAAGGGUCUGCUAACUACGUGCCAGCAGCCGCGGUAAC
This 481-nucleotide ribosomal RNA is filed under the name uncultured bacterium. Its description in RNAcentral is "bacterial SSU rRNA". It matches the Rfam family "Bacterial small subunit ribosomal RNA", at positions 9 to 524 of the family's 1533-position model. The record is from RNAcentral.